GAUGAGCGCUGGCGGCGUGCCUAAUACAUGCAAGUCGAACGGCAGCACGGGUGCUUGCACCUGGUGGCGAGUGGCGAACGGGUGAGUAAUAUAUCGGAACGUACCUUAUUGUGGGGGAUAACGCAGCGAAAGCUGUGCCAAUACCGCAUAAUCCCUAAGGGGGAAAGCGGGGGACCGUAAGGCCUCGCGCCAUUAGAGCGGCCGAUACCUGAUUAGCUAGUUGGGGAGGUAAAGGCUCACCAAGGCAACGAUCAGUAGCUGGUCUGAGAGGACGAUCAGCCACACUGGGACUGAGACACGGCCCAGACUCCUACGGGAGGCAGCAGUGGGGAAUUUUGGACAAUGGGGGCAACCCUGAUCCAGCCAUGCCGCGUGAGUGAAGAAGGCCUUCGGGUUGUAAAGCUCUUUCGGCCGGGAAGAAAUCGCACAGGCUAAUACUCUGUGUGGAUGACGGUACCGGCAUAAGAAGCACCGGCUAACUACGUGCCAGCCGCCGCCGUAA
Molecule: ribosomal RNA, 502 nt
Filed under: uncultured bacterium
Lineage: Bacteria
Description: partial 16S ribosomal RNA
Rfam family: Bacterial small subunit ribosomal RNA
Source: RNAcentral